RNAcentral lists this ribosomal RNA (496 nucleotides) under uncultured bacterium. RNAcentral's name for it is "partial 16S ribosomal RNA". It matches the Rfam family "Bacterial small subunit ribosomal RNA", at positions 28 to 506 of the family's 1533-position model. The record is from RNAcentral.
GACGAACGCUGGCGGCGUGCCUAGUACAUGCAAGUUGAGCGCUGAAGGUUGGUACUUGUACCAACUGGAUGAGCAGCGAACGGGUGAGUAACGCGUGGGGAAUCUGCCUUUGAGCGGGGGACAACAUUUGGAAACGAAUGCUAAGACCGCAUAAAAACUUUAAACACAAGUUUUAAGUUUGAAAGAUGCAAUUGCAUCACUCAAAGAUGAUCCCGCGUUGUAUUAGCUAGUUGGUGAGGUAAAGGCUCACCAAGGCGAUGAUACAUAGCCGACCUGAGAGGGUGAUCGGCCACAUUGGGACUGAGACACGGCCCAAACUCCUACGGGAGGCAGCAGUAGGGAAUCUUCGGCAAUGGACGAAAGUCUGACCGAGCAACGCCGCGUGAGUGAAGAAGGUUUUCGGAUCGUAAAACUCUGUUGGUAGAGAAGAACGUUGGUGAGAGUGGAAAGCUCAUCAAGUGACGGUAACUACCCAGAAAGGGACGGCUAACUACGU